Molecule: long non-coding RNA, 320 nt
Organism: Alosa sapidissima (American shad)
Lineage: Eukaryota; Metazoa; Chordata; Actinopteri; Clupeiformes; Clupeidae
Exons: 2
Source: RefSeq, a predicted model, not a curated record
UGUCUAGUUCCCAGACCCCAUCUCAAUGAGAUGAGGUCUGACGUUAGCCAGGCUAGUGCUAUACAAUCUUGGAAAAAGAACAGGAGAUGAGCUGCCAGAGGAGAAUGAGGACCCCCGUGAGGAUGAGGAGGUUGAAGAUGUGCAAGCAGGCCUACAAAAUGCUGCAAAUGUCAAUGGAAGUGCUGUGAGGAGAACACUGAUUGAAACCCACUUUGUAGCCUAAUCAAGGGAGGAACUGAUGGGACUUCCAUCUUGCAAUGCAAUAUUUAUUAAACAAUAUAUUAAUGAAACAACAAUAAACAAACAUUUAACAAAUAUUU